Molecule: ribosomal RNA, 465 nt
Filed under: Vreelandella stevensii
Lineage: Bacteria; Pseudomonadati; Pseudomonadota; Gammaproteobacteria; Oceanospirillales; Halomonadaceae
Description: partial 16S ribosomal RNA
Rfam family: Bacterial small subunit ribosomal RNA
Source: RNAcentral
CCUACGGGUGGCAGCAGUGGGGAAUAUUGGACAAUGGGGGGAACCCUGAUCCAGCCAUGCCGCGUGUGUGAAGAAGGCCCUCGGGUUGUAAAGCACUUUCAGUGAGGAAGAACGCCUGGUGGUUAAUACCCAUCAGGAAAGACAUCACUCACAGAAGAAGCACCGGCUAACUCCGUGCCAGCAGCCGCGGUAAUACGGAGGGUGCGAGCGUUAAUCGGAAUUACUGGGCGUAAAGCGCGCGUAGGUGGCUUGAUAAGCCGGUUGUGAAAGCCCCGGGCUCAACCUGGGAACGGCAUCCGGAACUGUCAAGCUAGGGUGCAGGAGAGGAAGGUAGAAUUCCCGGUGUAGCGGUGAAAUGCGUAGAGAUCGGGAGGAAUACCAGUGGCGAAGGCGGCCUUCUGGACUGACACUGACACUGAGGUGCGAAAGCGUGGGUAGCAAACAGGAUUAGAUACCCUGGUAGUC